This 254-nucleotide ribosomal RNA is filed under the name uncultured bacterium. RNAcentral's name for it is "partial 16S ribosomal RNA". It matches the Rfam family "Bacterial small subunit ribosomal RNA", at positions 524 to 776 of the family's 1533-position model. The record is from RNAcentral.
CACGUAGGGUGCGAGCGUUGUCCGGAAUUAUUGGGCGUAAAGAGCUCGUAGGCGGUUGGGCAAGUCACGUGUGAAAUCUCCACGCUCAACGUGGAGGCGCCACGUGAGACUGCCCUGACUCGAGUCCGGUAGGGGAGCGUGGAAUUCCCGGUGUAGCGGUGAAAUGCGCAGAGAUCGGGAGGAACACCCGUAGCGAAGGCGGCGCUCUGGGCCGGUACUGACGCUGAGGAGCGAAAGCGUGGGGAGCAAACAGG